GUUAAAAGAUUCUAUUUCAAUAAACUAAGAGAGGAUAGAAGUAAAACAAAAAACGAUAGAGAAAUGUUACCUGUACAGGCAUUUCGUGCUUUUUCAUGGCAUUAAUCAGAAUAGAAAAGAGCGAUAAAUCAACUCCAUUUGGUAGAAUUGUUGCCUCGGCAAGAAGUAUAGAAGCGGACAUACAGCCUAAGAGGAUUGCCAAAACUUUCUGAAGUUGCUUUGCCAAUACACAACGCCAAAUCAACUCUG
Molecule: unclassified non-coding RNA, 249 nt
Filed under: Hevea brasiliensis (rubber tree)
Lineage: Eukaryota; Viridiplantae; Streptophyta; Magnoliopsida; Malpighiales; Euphorbiaceae
Source: RNAcentral